UACGUAGGGUCCGAGCGUUGUCCGGAAUUACUGGGCGUAAAGAGCUCGUAGGUGGUUUGUCGCGUUGUUCGUGAAAACUCACAGCUCAACUGUGGGCGUGCGGGCGAUACGGGCAGACUAGAGUACUGCAGGGGAGACUGGAAUUCCUGGUGUAGCGGUGGAAUGUGCAGAUAUCAGGAGGAACACCGGUGGCGAAGGCAGAUCUCUGGGCCGUAACUGACGCUGAGGAGCGAAAGCAUGGGGAGCGAACAGG
Molecule: ribosomal RNA, 253 nt
Filed under: uncultured bacterium
Lineage: Bacteria
Description: partial 16S ribosomal RNA
Rfam family: Bacterial small subunit ribosomal RNA
Source: RNAcentral